This 74-nucleotide transfer RNA is filed under the name Phyllodactylus nocticolus. RNAcentral describes it as "tRNA-Val". The record is from RNAcentral. Lineage: Eukaryota; Metazoa; Chordata; Lepidosauria; Squamata; Phyllodactylidae.
CAAAGGGUAGCUUACACCUAACCCAAAAGCACCUAGCUUACACCUAGACGACGCGGCUCUCCCGCCCCCUUGAG